Phaseolus vulgaris (common bean) is the source of this 507-nucleotide non-coding RNA. The record is from Rfam. Lineage: Eukaryota; Viridiplantae; Streptophyta; Magnoliopsida; Fabales; Fabaceae.
ACCCAAGUACAAAAUUACAAACUUCAAAGCAAGGCACACACUUUGCUACAUCAAAACUAGAAGGAUACCACUCUGGAAGAGCUAGAAUUCUAACCUUGUGCCUGAACCUAUGGUUCGGGGAACAGUCUCAGGAAGACAGUUUCUAUGGGGCGUAUGCCUCCCCAAAGGUAACGAAGGCAUGCAAAGGUUUCCUCGGGCCAGACGAAGAUUGACCCUCGAGUGCAAAGACAGAAGGGAGCUUGACUACAAGACCCACCCGUCGAGUAGGGACGAAAGUCAGCUUUAGUCAUCUGACGGUGUCGAGUGGAAGGGCCAUCGCUCAACGGAUAAAAGUUACUUUAGGGAUAAUAGGCUGAUCUUCCCCAAGAGCUCACAUCAAUGGGAAGGUUUGGCACCUCGAUGUCGGCUCUUCACCACCUGGGGCUGUAGUAUGUUCCAAGGGUUGGGUUGUUCGCCCAUUAAAGCGGUAUGUGAGCUGGGUUCAGAACAUCGUGAGACAGUUCGGUC